GACGAACGCUGGCGGCGUGCCUAAUACAUGCAAGUUGAGCGCUGAAGGUUGGUACUUGUACCGACUGGAUGAGCAGCGAACGGGUGAGUAACGCGUGGGGAAUCUGCCUUUGAGCGGGGGACAACAUUUGGAAACGAAUGCUAAUACCGCAUAAAAACUUUAAACACAAGUUUUAAGUUUGAAAGAUGCAAUUGCAUCACUCAAAGAUGAUCCCGCGUUGUAUUAGCUAGUUGGUGAGGUAAAGGCUCACCAAGGGGAUGAUACAUAGCCGACCUGAGAGGGAGAUCGGCCACAUUGGGACUGAGAAACGGCCCAAACUCCUACGGGAGGCAGCAGUAGGGAAUCUUCGGCAAUGGACGAAAGUCUGACCGAGCAACGCCGCGUGAGUGAAGGAGGUUUUCGGAUCGUAAAACUCUGUUGGUAGAGAAGAACGUUGGUGAGAGUGGAAAGCUCAUCAAGUGACGGUAACUACCCAGAAAGGGACGGCUAACUACGUGCCAGCAGCCGCUUAA
This 512-nucleotide ribosomal RNA is filed under the name uncultured bacterium. RNAcentral describes it as "partial 16S ribosomal RNA". It matches the Rfam family "Bacterial small subunit ribosomal RNA", at positions 28 to 522 of the family's 1533-position model. The record is from RNAcentral.